Molecule: ribosomal RNA, 1017 nt
Filed under: uncultured organism
Description: bacterial SSU rRNA
Rfam family: Bacterial small subunit ribosomal RNA
Source: RNAcentral
GAGGAAUAUUGGUCAAUGGACGAGAGUCUGAACCAGCCAAGUAGCGUGAAGGAUGAAGGUUCUAUGGAUUGUAAACUUCUUUUAUACGGGAAUAAACGAAUCCACGCGUGGAUUUUUGCAUGUACCGUAUGAAUAAGGAUCGGCUAACUCCGUGCCAGCAGCCGCGGUAAUACGGAGGAUCCGAGCGUUAUCCGGAUUUAUUGGGUUUAAAGGGAGCGUAGGCGGACGCUUAAGUCAGUUGUGAAAGUUUGCGGCUCAACCGUAAAAUUGCAGUUGAUACUGGGUGUCUUGAGUACAGUAGAGGCAGGCGGAAUUCGUGGUGUAGCGGUGAAAUGCUUAGAUAUCACGAAGAACUCCGAUUGCGAAGGCAGCUUGCUGGACUGUAACUGACGCUGAUGCUCGAAAGUGUGGGUAUCAAACAGGAUUAGAUACCCUGGUAGUCCACACAGUAAACGAUGAAUACUCGCUGUUUGCGAUAUACAGUAAGCGGCCAAGCGAAAGCGUUAAGUAUUCCACCUGGGGAGUACGCCGGCAACGGUGAAACUCAAAGGAAUUGACGGGGGCCCGCACAAGCGGAGGAACAUGUGGUUUAAUUCGAUGAUACGCGAGGAACCUUACCCGGGCUUGAAUUGCAACUGAAUGAUGUGGAGACAUGUCAGCCGCAAGGCAGUUGUGAAGGUGCUGCAUGGUUGUCGUCAGCUCGUGCCGUGAGGUGUCGGCUUAAGUGCCAUAACGAGCGCAACCCUUAUCGAUAGUUACCAUCAGGUUAUGCUGGGGACUCUGUCGAGACUGCCGUCGUAAGAUGUGAGGAAGGUGGGGAUGACGUCAAAUCAGCACGGCCCUUACGUCCGGGGCUACACACGUGUUACAAUGGGGGGUACAGAAGGCAGCUACACGGCGACGUGAUGCUAAUCCCGAAAGCCUCUCUCAGUUCGGAUUGGAGUCUGCAACCCGACUCCAUGAAGCUGGAUUCGCUAGUAAUCGCGCAUCAGCCACGGCGCGGUGAAUACGUUCCCG